This is an RNA transcript of Anguilla rostrata (American eel), 4961 nucleotides long. It is a transcript of the gene named FAST kinase domains 1, with no coding region annotated. NCBI's taxonomy places the organism in Eukaryota, Metazoa, Chordata, Actinopteri, Anguilliformes, Anguillidae. The transcript is spliced from 16 exons. The record is from RefSeq and is a predicted model, not a curated record.
CUCCCAUUGCCGCCAGCACCAAUUGCCAGGUUCGCAGAGCUUGAAGUUCAUUUAGUUCACGUAAAUGAUUCGUACAGAAAGAACGAGUUGUUCGAGAACGAGCAUUUACUCUAUAACAAAGAACUGGCUACCAUUCUAAGCCUUGACUAGAACUAGCUAGACAGCCGUUACCAAGCUAUUUCCUCUCCGUAAUUAGCUAGCGAGUAUCCAGAGGAUGACCAACAUUUACUGAGACAAACCAUCCGUACUGCCAGACAUUGCAGUUGUGCACAUCCUCCCCUCUAACAGAUGCCUACAGGAAUUUGUCGUUUUCAAACAUAUCCUCUCCGGAUUUGAAACUCUGGAGGCAGGUUUGAGUGUGUCUUUUCUUGAAAACGCAGACUUGCAUACACAUCUUCCCAGCCUUCCCCUGAGUCCUGAAGGUUACACCACGGCCAUGUUUCGACUCUUGGCUGUGCGAAGUUGCUCCAAGCCAGCCAGGCAGCUCCAUAGUUGGCUAGCAAACCAGGACCAGGUACUUGAGCUGCUUCGUGUGUGCUCUGUUGAGGACCAGGUGUUUGAUGUGGUCAGCAAGAACAAGACUAAGCUGUCGAUCAGUCAUGUGGCAUAUGCUCUGGACUUGUUGUGGAAGUUCCAAAAGGAGAAGCCUCAGAUACUGCGUACAGUGGAGUUCAUCAGGAGUCACCCACAGUUCAUCACUCUCCGUGUGCUGGCUGAAAACAAGAUUACUCUCAUGGAUGACAUGACUGUAGUGGACGUGCUCUACAAUGUCCUUCGGCUCAAUGUUGAACCUCACGACACUCUUGUCCAGCAGCUAGUCGCUGAGGCAUGGCUUAGGUUACACAGCCUCCAGAUGCCAGCACUGUCUAAGUUUGCCAUUUGCUUAAAUGAUCAGCAUCUUCAGCACAGUCCACUUAUGGGCCAGAUCACAGAGAUUUUAAGUCAAAAAGUUGACACCAUACAAGAUGUGAGGGUCCUUUCCACCUUGAUGAUAAGUGUGUCUGCUCUGGUGUCACCACGACUGCGUGAUGCCCUUGUCAAGAGGGCAGACACCCUCCUUGAUGCUUCGGGCUCCUCUCAAUUCAACAGCCCCAGGAGGGUGGUCCAGUUCCUACGCAACGUCAAGCACAUUUGCCGCCCACUGCUGGAGAAGUGCAAUUCCAUUUUUCUGCACAAUGUGUCCCAUCUGGAUGCUGAGAACAUCAGUAUCAUUCUAGGGCUGUACCAGUCCCUGCAGUUUAACAACUCUGACUUCCGCUUGGCCGCCAAGCAGAGGCUGAUUAAGCUGGUAGACUGCUGCACCGAUCCAGUGUCCUUCACCAAGCUCUUUGCUGCUCUUGGACCAAUGGCUAAACAGGAGGCCAGAGAGGGCUUGGAGAGUGCUGCGCUGUUAUUAGCUGAUAAGCUGAAUGGCCAGCAGGUCCUUGCUGUAGCAGAGACUCUGGAGGAGCUUCAGAGUAAGAACCUGCAGCUGAUCAAUAAGAUUGGGUCAAUAAUCUUUAAGAACCUGGACAUGUACACGCCUAUGGAGGUAGCCAGGAUCACACAGGCCCUGAUUUGUUUGCACUACCAGAAUCCAGAGAUGUUCACCAAGCUGAGGAACAUAAUGAUGUGUCACCUGCAGGUCAGCGUCUUCCCCUAUGAAGUGACUACGCUGAUACGGGUUCUGUCUCUGUUGCCCUGCUCGCGGCUAGAUGAGACUGUUAUAUCACGGGUGGAUGCUGUGCUGUCCCAAUGCAACCUGAGUGACCUCAACACUUUCACAAUGGCUAUCGCCAAGUGGAUGCGCAACGACCCCUCUUGCCGCUACAGCAUGCCCAGUGUGUAUGUCCGACUGCUUCAGACUCUAAAUUGUUGUGGGCUGGAGCGUCUGCGUAAGGCCGACCACCUGGACCUCUUGCUGGAGGAGCUGAAGUACAUGUCGGGGGAGUGGUUUGAGGAGAUGCUGCUGGAGGAAACUAUGGCUGCCCUCCAAAGGCUACUCUGGCAGGUCUCCUGGACCAAUGUGCCUGAGCUGACCCUCUUUUUGACCAAGACCAACUACUUGUGCAUGCCAGUCCUGGACCACAUCGCUGCUGUUGUCAUGGAGAACAUCCACAAGAUGCACUAUUCAGCAACAUAUGCCACCCUGCUCCCCUUCACAAUGCUGAACUAUGAUCCCCCAAGUGGAGAUGAGUUCUUCAAUACAUGCAUUCAACACUUCUCUCCUCACCUGAGCUCCUUCGACCCCCACCUGCUGGUGCUGCUGGCCUAUUCCCUGGCUGUGGCUAACUGUUUCCCUGAGGCAUUGAUCCGUGAAAUUUUCAGUGUGGAUUUCCUGACAAAGCUAGACUGCCAGUUAGAGACCCUGCCAGAUGCGCUGAACAUGCGAAUACGUUUGCGCCUGAUGGAGCUGAACAGGGCUGUGUGUCUGGAGUGCCCUGAGUUCCAGGUUCCCUGGUUCCAUGAACGCUACUGCCAGCAGCUGCAGCGAAAAGGCACCAUUUCCAUUAGUCCCGUUCAACAACAGAUCCACAAAAUGCUGGGAGAGCUUCUUGGAGGAAUGAACUAUGUCAGAAUGGCUGUGCUUACUCCUUAUUUCUACACAGUAGACUUUGAGUGUGUGCUGGACAGACACCAGUGGCCAGUUCCAUAUGUGGAACCAAACGAUCUGCAUAUCAUGGAGGAGUGGAAGGUCCAGUGGGAGUCUGACUCUCUGGUGAAGAAGUGUGAACUGUCACUGGGGGCACAAUGGCCUUCACUGCAGCUGCUUUCAGCUGAUCUUCAGUCUCCUCUUCAGAAAGUCAAGAGGAGUGCAUGCUCAGUUGGAUUUCAAUCAGCAUUGCUGUGGACUUCUUGGAUUCCAAAUCCUUCUGCAAGAACUCACAUCAUGUAAAGGGAGAAGUAAUGAUGAGGAAGAGGCAUCUGGAGAUCCUGGGAUACUCUGUUAUACAAGUUCCUCAUUUUGAAUGGAAUUCAAUGGAGCUCUCCACCAAGGAUGCCUGGAAGGAUUACUUGAGAAAGAAGAUUUUUACAGAGCUGUCCUAAUGUGUAUAUCAACUCAACAAAAAUCGAAUUCAGUAACAAUUAUGAAAGUGAAUCCUGGCAUCCCUGUGGUGAAUCAUUAUCAUUUUUGUGUAUUCUUUGCAAUGGAUGACAGAGGUGACUUAGUUUCUAAAAUAUUGAUUCUGACAAUAUCUGUAGUUUUUUCUCUGCAAAUAAAAUAUUUGUCAUAAAAUACUCUCUUGUUAUUUUCAACCACAAGGAUAACAAACAUGUAUUGUUAAAUAUUCCAGAAGUCACGUGGCUAUUCUGUUGAGAACACAAUGCAGUUUACAAAUGUUUGUCUAUUUUUAAAAAAUGCAUUAUGAUCCAGUUUCUCAGAGAUUGAUUAAGCCUAGUCCUAAAGUAUUUUAGUUAAACACAAGUUUAAGUUUGUUAAAAUAAAGCAUGAGAAAUAGCAUUUUCUGAAGCACCGGGAUGUAAAAACUGUGCAUAAUAGCUGUGCAUAAAAAUGUCAGACUCUUGUAAUAAUCUGCCUACAAUGUAAUAAGUGUUGAGCGCAUAAUGUAGGCCUAAUAACUUUAGCGUGUUAUACACUGUUAUUACAUUAUAGGCUCUAUUUUCCGGCCAUGGCGUGUUGAGAGCCGUCAAAAUGGUGUUCCCUUUGGUAAUUUCAUGACUUGCACUGCGCCGUAGUGGGAGGGGUGACCUUCUGAGGAUAUGUCAGUCUAUGUUGCAGUGCAAUGCAAUUUGUGUCAUUUUCCGCCUGCCAGCUCAGACCACAUUUAUGGCGUAAACCUAUUCAAAAGGCUAUCAAUGGUUUUCAUGGAUCAUAUGCGGUCUAAUUUGACAUUCAUAUAAAUCCCAGAAGCAGAAAAAAAUACUUUGCAUUUAUUGCUCAUUGUCUCUUUUUUGAUUAUUUUAAUUCCUGUAUUUAUUUCUAUUUUUAAUUGUGUAUGGCUAUUCUUCAGCCUGCAUUGUGGUCCUUGGGGUACUGUGUCAUUCUUUUUCUUACACCCAUCUGUAAUGAGAAGAAUGAACUUGAACAAUCUUUUCAUUUUGAUUGACUGUAGUUAAAAUGAUAGCUACAGCAUUGGCACAAAUUAUGGAUAGAUUGCCUUUAUAAACAGUUUGAUGAUUAAUGCAGUAUUUUGUAGCAAUUGCUUUUUUGGAUAAUAAAUAUAAAAUAUAAUGAACAUAAUAUGAACAUAAAAUGAAAAUGUAGAAAUAAUUAGCCUUUCAGUUAAACAAGUAAUGAUCAUUAUGAAUUAUUGUAUGUAUUAGUUCAUACCAACAUAAUUGAGCUGUUUGUAAAAUUUCUACCAGUAAGAUUUGUUAAUCAGCUUGAACAUGUAUUGCUUUGUCCAGUAGUUUUCUACAUAAAAUGCUAAUAUUCACAUAAAGAGAAAAAAAUUAACAUUUUUUGGCUUGUAUACUUUAUUUCAAAUUACUGAUCACAGAAUGUCAUUAACGCAUGUGGUCAAGAAGAAAUUUUGAACUGGGGAGAACCAGCAAAAUUGUGACAAUUUUCACUUUUUACUCAAUUACUUUCAAGUAGUUCACUCAAUAGCUGUGAAAUUGCACUACAAAGAGUGUGCACUUGUCAGCUACAAGAAGUCACAUUAACUUAGAUGUGAUCACAAAUGGUUUGUAUACAAUUUAAACAAAUGUUUAACGUCCGAUGUUACAAUCGUAACGUGCAGGACAGUUGAAAUACAGGUGCAGCAUAGUAACAAUGAAAAAUAACUAAAUAAAUCGUUCAUAUCUGCAAUAUAUACUGGACAAAACACUGUUGGUUGAAAAGAUCAUACUGUGCAUGGGUUUUUAAACCAGCAACCAAUUUUUUUCAUUUAUUGCCAAAAACGGUAUGUAUGUGGGAUUAGGUGAUUUUUGGUUUUGCUAUGUUAUAUAUACUGUACUCUUAUUUUGUCUAUGUAGUCAUGUCAGUAGGGAAGAGUGAAUAAACCUUUUUCAACAAA